RNAcentral lists this ribosomal RNA (460 nucleotides) under uncultured bacterium. Its description in RNAcentral is "partial 16S ribosomal RNA". It matches the Rfam family "Bacterial small subunit ribosomal RNA", at positions 338 to 795 of the family's 1533-position model. The record is from RNAcentral.
CCUACGGGAGGCAGCAGUGAGGAAUAUUGGUCAAUGGACGAGAGUCUGAACCAGCCAAGUAGCGUGAAGGAUGACUGCCCUAUGGGUUGUAAACUUCUUUUAUAAAGGAAUAAAACGAGGCACGUGUGCCUUUUUGCAUGUACUUUAUGAAUAAGGAUCGGCUAACUCCGUGCCAGCAGCCGCGGUAAUACGGAGGAUCCGAGCGUUAUCCGGAUUUAUUGGGGUUAAAGGGAGCGUAGAUGGGUUGUUAAGUCAGUUGCGAAAGUUUGCGGCUCAACCGUAAAAUUGCAAUUGAUACUGGCAGUCUUGAGUACAGUUGAGGUAAGCGGAAUUCGUGGUGUAGCGGUGAAAUGCUUAGAUAUCACGAAGAACCCCGAUUGCGAAGGCAGCUUACUAAACUGUGACUGACAUUGAUGCUCGAAAGUGUGGGUAUCAAACAGGAUUAGAUACCCUAGUAGUC